Glycine soja is the source of this 2233-nucleotide long non-coding RNA. RefSeq lists it as uncharacterized. The record is from RefSeq and is a predicted model, not a curated record. The transcript has 2 exons. Lineage: Eukaryota; Viridiplantae; Streptophyta; Magnoliopsida; Fabales; Fabaceae.
GCACCUCAGGUUCAUUCAUUCCCACCAUUCUUGACUUCUUCCUUCAUUCCUUCCUUCCUUCCUUCCUCGACACACCUUAUAAGAAAAGAGUUUCCACUACCUUCCUUUCUUGAUACCUAACUGAACAUUCUUAGAGCAUCACCAUUGUAGUUCAACAUCAUAAUGAUGUGAAAAAUGGGAAUGCUUUAAGAAUUUCAGUUAUGCAUCAAUCAUGGCAGCUACUUCUUCUGACCUCGUAAUAUUUUGUGGGGAAAAAUCUGUUUUGAAUCUUUUUUUGUUAUUCACUACAUUUUUCAUUUUAACUAAUAUGAACUGAUAGCAUCAAUAAGGCUGUUUCUUUUUAUGAGUUUUUCCAGUUAAGUUGAUUGCUCAGUUCUAGCAUUCUGUAAUGAGUCUGAGGUAGGCUUGGGGUUGAAAAACUUUGCUACUGUUUCAUACUGAUUCUCUUCCUCAAAAGGCUUUGACACAUAUCCCUACAUCCCAAGGUUCAUCAUAGAGAACAUGUUCAGAUGGCAUCUUGCACAAUAUAUUGGCCAUGGAGUAAUUAACGUGCCAUUUCAAAUCUUCUAACAUGGUUCACCGUUGACAAUUCUUGCUCAUGUUACGUAACUUCUGUUGUUAUAACUAAUAAGCAACCCUUCAUGGCAAAGCUGCACUAGAAAUGCUUCCAUUGCCUCACAAUUUUUUAUGUUUGCUUCAUGGAUAUUCAAAUGUCAGAAAUGGACGGGUAUAUUUGAAUUUUUUUGCUGUAUUAUUUGCAGAUAAUCUAGAAACUAACCAAUUAAAAGUAUUAACAUGAUAGCUGCUGUGUUAAUAUGAAUUUUUUUUGCAAUUUAUAUGGAAGCUUCAUAUCUUAGGAACAUGUUGAAACAGAGUAUUUGAAUCAGGUACCAGUACGACAUGUGUCAAAGCCUUUUGAGGAAGAGAAUCAGUAUGAAGCAGUUGCAAAGUUUUUCAACCCCAAGUCAAGCCUAACUCAGAUUCAUUACAGAAUGCCAGAACUGAGCAAGCAACUUAAAUUGGAGACACUCAAUAUUUUUCUUUUGCAUCUCUAUACUUCUCUAUCAGAAGGGUUUAAAAAAAAAACUAUAUAUAGUUUCGCUCUCUCUCUCUCUCUUUUUUUCUCUGCAAAAUUGUCUCUAUAAGAUUUGGUUAGUUUCUAUAUUCAGAAGAAAAAGAUUGGUGCUUAAUAAUGGCUAGCUAAACCACAUUGGUAGCACAGUGAUAUGAUAUGAUAUGAUAUGAAGUUAUGAACAUUUGCAAUAUGUUUCCUCGUAAUCGUUUUCCUACUUGGGACGCACUGAAUUCGGGUCAUAGUAUUUACAAAACUCACCGUCACCGAUAAAUUAGAAUAUUAAAAUAUAUGUAUUUAAUAAAAUUAUUUGUCGCUAUGUUAAAUCUAAAAAAUAAAGUAAUUUUUUUUGAAUUAACAUCAGAAAUGUUUUUUUUUUAAAUAUAAUUACCUGUAUGGAUUAACUAGAAAAAUAUUUCCGUUUCAUGAAAGAUUUAUUUAAAAAGAGUGAUAAUUUGUGUAAAAUUUCUACCCAAUUAACAUUUGAUAUUCUCUCUAUAUCUCCCUUUUAAGGUAAAGAGUUUUACCAUUCCAUAAUCAAGUCAAACAGGGUUAUCACUUAGUAAAAAACACUACAAAUUAACUAAAAUAACUGGUUAAACAUACCCAAAGUGUACACACACACACACAAAAUACUUGAUCAAAUUGAUAUGUGAGAAGUGAUUUUGAGAAAUAAUGAAUAGUACUGAUUAAUAUGAGCGUGUAAGUAUAUUGUUUAUAGUUUUAACGGUGAUUCUACAUGUUUUGAAAGUAUAUCCAUACAUAUAUGUUACAAAAUAUAAGUUGAUUUAAAUAUAGGCUUAUAUACUGACCAAUUUCUCUCUAACCAAAAUACCAAAUGAAAUGAAAGUGUGGUUUAAUGCAAAUAGGAGCGGAUCGAUUGAUUACAGAGUGGAAGUAAAUAAAUAUCUUUGGCAAUGACAGAUACGUGUGAAUGGUGCAGAGCUCGUGUGACACUGCUAUGUUUGGAUGAGUGUGGCAAUACACUUAGUUACCGUACAUCUCAGUACUCUCUGUCUGCCACAAUAUUGUUACAUUUUUAUUUUUUGCAGUGAAUUUCACUUGGACUAGUAACUAGUAAAUAGAGCAAAAUUCUGUCAAUUUUCUAGUUAUACGACACAACUUUAGCCUUGUUCAACUUGAUGUGAUAUUUUUUUUAUA